Molecule: unclassified non-coding RNA, 491 nt
Filed under: Ochrosperma lineare
Lineage: Eukaryota; Viridiplantae; Streptophyta; Magnoliopsida; Myrtales; Myrtaceae
Description: partial miscellaneous RNA
Source: RNAcentral
CGUUGUAAAACGACGUUWUGCAUGAAAGUAAUGCUCAUAACUUCCCUCUAGACCUAGCUGCUGUAGAAGUUCCAUCUACAAAUGGAUAAGACUAUGGAUAAGACUUUGGUUUUAGUAUAAGUGUAGUCGAUUUUUUUUUUGAAAAUAAAGGAACAAUAACCAAUUUCUUAUUCUAUCAAGAGUGUUGGUUAUUGUUCCUUUAUUUAGUGAUCUUUUCUUUACAUAACUUUUUUUUUUACUUCAACAUCAAAAAAGUAUUCUAUUCUUAGGGAUUCCUUUGUUAUUUCGUAUCAUACUUUUUUCCUUAUAUAGGAAAUUAUUUAUAAUUUAUAUACAUUCUUUUCAAACCUUUCUUUUUAAGUCUUUGUGAAAUUAUUAUUUUCUAGUUUUUUAUUUUGGUGGAAUCCAAAUAAAUAGAAAUACUAGUAAUAAUGGGGGCGGAUGUAGCCAAGUGGAUCAAGGCAGUGGAUUGUGAAUCCACCAUGCGCGCC